UGGCAUCCGUAGUCGGUCCCCAGACCUCUCCUCUGUGUUGGGUUCUGUUGUGUUGGGUUCUGUUGUGUUGGGUUGGGUUGGGUUAUGUUGUGUUGUGUUGGGUUCUGUUGUGUUGGGUUCUGUUCUGUUGUUGUGUGUUGGGUUCUGUUGUGUUGGGUUCUGUUGUGUUGUGUUGCGUUCUGUUGUGUUGGGUUCUGUUGUGUUGUGUUGGGUUCUGUUGUGUUGUGUUGGGUUCUGUUGUGUUGUGUUGGGUUCUGUUGGGUUCUGUUCUGUGUUGGGUUCUGUUGCGUUGGGUUCUGGUCUGUUAUGUUGGGUUCUGUUCUGUUGUGUUCUGUUGUAUUGUGUUCUGUUGUGUUGGGUUCUGUUGUGUUGUGUUCUGUUGGGUUCUCUUGUGUUGGGUUCUGUUGUGUUCUGUUGGGUUGUGUUGGGUUCUGUUGUGUUGUGUUCUGUUGUGUUCUGUUGUGUUGUGUUCUGUUGUGUUGGGUUCUGUUGUGUUGGGUUCUGUUGUGUUGGGUUCUGUUGUGUUGUGUUCUGUUGUGUUGGGUUCUGUUGUGUUGGGUUCUGUUGUGUUCUGUUGUGUUCUGUUGUGUUGGGUUCUGUUGUGUUGUGUUGGGUUCUGUUGUGUUGGGUUAUGUUGUGUUUUGUUGGGUUCUGUUGUGUUCUGUUGGGUUCUGUUCUGUUGUGUUGUGUUCUGUUGUGUUGUGUUCUGUUCUGUUCUGUUGUGUUGGGUUCUGUUGUGUUCUGUUGGGUCUGUUGUGUUGUGUUGGGUUCUGUUGUGUUCUGUUGUGUUGGGUUCUGUUCUGUUGUGUUCUGUUGUGUUGGGUUGGGUUCUGUUGAGUUGGGUUCUGUUGUGUUGUGUUGUGUUCUGUUGGGUUCUGUUCUGUUGUGUUGGGUUCUGUUGAGUUCUGGGUUCUGUUGAGUUGGGUUCUGUUGUGUUGUGUUCUGUUGUGUUGUGUUGGGUUGUGUUCUGUUGUGUUGUGUUGGGUUCUGUUCUGUUGGGUUGGGUUCUGUUGUGUUGUGUUCUGUUGUGUUGUGUUGGGUUCUGUUGUGUUGUGUUGUGUUGUAUUCUGUUGUGUUGUGUUGGGUUCUGUUCUGUUCUGUUGUGUUGGGUUCUGUUGUGUUGUGUUGGGUUCUGUUGGGUUCUGUUCUGUUGUGUUGGGUUCUGUUGUGUUGGGUUCUGUUGUGUUGGGUUCUGUUGUGUUGGGUUGUAUUCUGUUGUGUUGUGUUGGGUUCUGUUGGGUUCUGUUGGGUUCUGUUGUGUUGGGUUCUGUUGUGUUGUGUUGCGUUGUGUUGUGUUGUGUUGGGUUCUGUUCUGUUGGGUUCUUUUGGGUUGUCUCUUUUUCUUUUCACACGUCAGAUAUGAUUUGUUCCAGGGGCCGGUGGAUUAAGGCUGGGGCCCUUGUCUCUCCUCUCACAUGAUGGAGU
Long non-coding RNA from Oncorhynchus tshawytscha (Chinook salmon), 1425 nucleotides. Lineage: Eukaryota; Metazoa; Chordata; Actinopteri; Salmoniformes; Salmonidae. The record is from Ensembl.